Molecule: long non-coding RNA, 306 nt
Organism: Mytilus trossulus (common blue mussel)
Lineage: Eukaryota; Metazoa; Mollusca; Bivalvia; Mytilida; Mytilidae
Exons: 3
Source: RefSeq, a predicted model, not a curated record
AUGUGCACUCGUGACCUUAUUGUACUUUCAUUUUUAAAAGUUAUUAAUAAACCAGUUCAUACAUUGUAAACAUGGACUAUUCGGAAUGGAUUGAGACACAGAAAGCACGUUUGAGUGUUCACAUGUUCUGAAGAGCAUUCUGUUGAAAAAUCUUAUAUGUGAAUUGGUCUGCAGAUGACACUUCAGCAUUAAAACAAAAGAUAUCAAGUUUUGAUGAAAAAGGAAGGAAGGAGGGAAAAUGGACCAAAACAGACCAAAACAGACCUUCAAAUGAACUCUAAAAGGUGCAAUAAAAUUGUUUAUCAU